This 253-nucleotide ribosomal RNA is filed under the name uncultured bacterium. RNAcentral's name for it is "partial 16S ribosomal RNA". It matches the Rfam family "Bacterial small subunit ribosomal RNA", at positions 524 to 776 of the family's 1533-position model. The record is from RNAcentral.
AACGUAGGAGACGAACGUUAUCCGGAGUUACUGGGCGUAAAGGGCGUGUAGGCGGUUUGUUAGGUCUGGCGUGAAAGCUCUCGGCUAAACCGGGAGAGGUCGUUGGAUACUGGCGAACUAGAGGAUGGUAGAGGCGUGUGGAAUUCCGGGUGUAGUGGUGAAAUGCGUAGAGAUCCGGAGGAACACCAGUGGCGAAGGCGACACGCUGGGCCAUACCUGACGCUAAAGCGCGACAGCAUGGGGAGCAAACGGG